ACAAGUACCGUGAGGGAAAGUUGAAAAGUACUUUGAAGAGAGAGUUAAGAGGAUGUGAAACCGAUGAGGUGGAAACGGAUAGAGCCAACAUUCUGGCCUGUAUUCAGCGUUUUGCUAAAGCAAAUCGUGCACUUGCAGGUGGAGAGCGCUGAGAGGCACUUUUGUCUUCUACGGUUUCUUGGCUUGUGUACGUCUAUCGUACCCGCCUCGAUUCUUGUCUUAGACCUUGGUGUUCUAACGGUCCUUGGAUUCCUCCGGCUAGUUGUUCUACUAGGUGACGGUUAUCGCGUGCGAUUUACCUAAUCUAGUACACUUCCUGUCGGUAGGUUUCCUUGGAUCAUCUCGGUGUAAAGUUGGUCAUCUAUCCGACCCGUCUUGAAACACGGACCAAGGAGUUUAGCGUAUGCGCGAGUCAAUGGAAUUUGAAAUCCACAGGCGUAAUGAAAUUAAUGUGUGGGAUCUAGCAGAUACUUGCUAGCGCACCACAGCCCUGCAGAUAUCCUUGUGAUGCUGUGGAGGCAGAGCGCAUGCGAUGAGACCCGAAAGAUGGUGAACUAUUCCUGAGCAGGACGAAGCCGGGGGAAACUCCGGUGGAAGUCCGAAGCGGUUCUGACGUGCAAAUCGAUCGUCUGACUUGGGUAUAGGGGCGAAAGACUAAUCGAACUAUCUAGUAGCUGGUUCCUUCCGA
This 688-nucleotide ribosomal RNA is filed under the name Lelenchus leptosoma. Its description in RNAcentral is "partial large subunit ribosomal RNA". It matches the Rfam family "Eukaryotic large subunit ribosomal RNA", at positions 344 to 964 of the family's 3401-position model. The record is from RNAcentral. Lineage: Eukaryota; Metazoa; Nematoda; Chromadorea; Rhabditida; Ecphyadophoridae.